RNAcentral lists this ribosomal RNA (620 nucleotides) under Pseudomonas protegens. Its description in RNAcentral is "bacterial SSU rRNA". It matches the Rfam family "Bacterial small subunit ribosomal RNA", at positions 75 to 690 of the family's 1533-position model. Lineage: Bacteria; Pseudomonadati; Pseudomonadota; Gammaproteobacteria; Pseudomonadales; Pseudomonadaceae. The record is from RNAcentral.
GGUACUUGUACCUGGUGGCGAGCGGCGGACGGGUGAGUAAUGCCUAGGAAUCUGCCUAGUAGUGGGGGAUAACGUCCGGAAACGGGCGCUAAUACCGCAUACGUCCUACGGGAGAAAGUGGGGGAUCUUCGGACCUCACGCUAUUAGAUGAGCCUAGGUCGGAUUAGCUAGUUGGUGAGGUAAUGGCUCACCAAGGCGACGAUCCGUAACUGGUCUGAGAGGAUGAUCAGUCACACUGGAACUGAGACACGGUCCAGACUCCUACGGGAGGCAGCAGUGGGGAAUAUUGGACAAUGGGCGAAAGCCUGAUCCAGCCAUGCCGCGUGUGUGAAGAAGGUCUUCGGAUUGUAAAGCACUUUAAGUUGGGAGGAAGGGCAGUUACCUAAUACGUGAUUGUUUUGACGUUACCGACAGAAUAAGCACCGGCUAACUCUGUGCCAGCAGCCGCGGUAAUACAGAGGGUGCAAGCGUUAAUCGGAAUUACUGGGCGUAAAGCGCGCGUAGGUGGUUUGUUAAGUUGGAUGUGAAAGCCCCGGGCUCAACCUGGGAACUGCAUCCAAAACUGGCAAGCUAGAGUAUGGUAGAGGGUGGUGGAAUUUCCUGUGUAGCGGUGAAAUGCG